GAGGACUACGACAAACGUUAUUCUAUGCGAAAGCAUGAAGUUGUAAACGAGGAUAGUCCUAGCUAAUACCAAGUGUUCACUUCGGAUUAGCUAACACAACUUUGUGAGGUGUUUAGUUGGCACGAAUCGGACUUAGCAUCAUUUAUGCUAGUCCAGUCUUACGCCAAACAUGGGAUUGCUGUCCCAGCUAAGCCAGACCCCACUAAAGAGGCCUAACAAAUGGGGCCUUAGUUUAUUCAUAGUGGCUUUGACCACUUGCUUGCGGGUUACUACACAAGUUCCAAUGUAUUAAGCUUCUUACAUAGAUUCCACGUAAGACCUAAUGUCUUAGAUUUCAUGUGGUUUAUCUAGUGAAUACAUCAGACCCUUUAUGGGUAUUUUUGUCUGUUUAUCCACACAUGAUCAACAUAGAUAUGACUUUUGGGCUGAGUUCAUUUAUGGUUUCACAUGUGUGCCUUUUGUGCUUCUACCAACCAGAGACCUCGAGGACUGAUUUUAAGCUACCUGCGAAGAUUAGGAUGCACCAUCACUAGUAGAACAUAGAGGUUUGCAUAGUAGGGUCUGCAACCUCCGC
This 574-nucleotide long non-coding RNA is filed under the name Malus domestica (apple). RNAcentral describes it as "long non-coding RNA (MDOM_LNC014999)". Lineage: Eukaryota; Viridiplantae; Streptophyta; Magnoliopsida; Rosales; Rosaceae. The record is from RNAcentral.